CAUAAAUUUCAUGAUAUUCUGCCUAUCCCUUGCCUUAUUGUGGCCGGUGUACUGAAGCGACUACGCCGGCCGGCCGGCCGGCAUCUGCGGAUGUCAGCUUGCUUUGCGAUAACGUUUACAGCGCAAUACGCUAGUAGUUCAAUAAAACACGCAAAAAAAAAACACAUACUUACACACAUGGAACGACGGGCCCACCAUCAUAUCGUUUCUGAUUAAUUCAAUUCAUCAACAAUCUCAAACCGGCAACGUUCCAAUCGUGGCUAGACAGACAUGAACCGUUCGUCACUUGCGCCGGCAUUCAGUGACCCGCACGAAACGUAACACAGAACAAAACAACAACAACAACUGCCUUUAACUACAACAAAACAACAAACUGAUGAACAAACACACGCCUCACCAACAUGUUGACGCAAGCAAAAUCCACGAUGCGGACGACGGGAUCGUAUAGAUGAAUGAUGAACAACAACAUGGUAGCAUGGGCAAAGUGGCUAUAAGGUCGCGUGUUCCUGAAUGACAUGUUCUAAUUUCUGCCGGUACGCAGUACUUGCAAAGCAGCGGAAUGAGUGCCACAAACCGACUGGUGGCAAAUAUAAUGUCGAUUGAUUUUUGUGUGCGCGUUAUGAAAAAACUUGUGACGCAAAAGCGUCGUACGCAUCGCUGUGUGCUUCAGAAUCGUGAAGAGUCUCUCUAGUCGCUCAACAAUCACACGUGAGAAUUGGGGAGGGCAGUGUAGUGCGGAGAGCAAAUACCAUUACGCAUAGCCAUGGAAAAUUGGAUAUCGAAAUCCGAGCAUCACGUGCAAUGAUUCAACAAAUUCAAAUUCCGCUCCUUAUGGGUGGAGUAGGCUGCAACGGGAAGCCAGUCAGCGGACUUGAAGGGCACACGAAUGCACUGAAUGACUGUGUGUGGUAAGUGUGUGUGUGUUACUUAAUGUUUUCCUGGAGGUUCAUUGUAGUGUCACGCGCCUCAGUCGAUGUACCGUCUGAAGGCGCUCUUACGGAACAUGGGAUAGAAUGGCACGAGAUGCCAGCAAGCGUGUACACGACCGAUCGAUUGUUGAUUGUUGCAAACAUUCAAGGACUUUGGAGCAAAAAAUAAAACACAAAUUACAAAAUUGGAUUGGAAAAACAAGGGGAAACAAUUCUCCAUCUCUUUUCCGAACUAUUAUGACUGUACUAAAAAAAUCUCUUUUUGUACUAAAACUCUGACAAAAUUGUAAACGCGUUCAGUUACUCGAGAGAACACGAAA
Anopheles funestus (African malaria mosquito) is the source of this 1249-nucleotide long non-coding RNA. RefSeq lists it as uncharacterized. NCBI's taxonomy places the organism in Eukaryota, Metazoa, Arthropoda, Insecta, Diptera, Culicidae. The transcript is spliced from 2 exons. The record is from RefSeq and is a predicted model, not a curated record.